This 454-nucleotide long non-coding RNA is filed under the name Equus caballus (horse). Its description in RNAcentral is "lncRNA (ENSECAG00000047044.1)". The record is from RNAcentral. Lineage: Eukaryota; Metazoa; Chordata; Mammalia; Perissodactyla; Equidae.
GCCACUUGAUGCAUCUUGGAAAGGCAUCCUCCCUCAGUCCAUCUUGUGAUGAGAACCUGGCCCCAGGCAACAGCUUGCCUGCCAUUUCAUGAAAGACCCUGAGCCAGAGGCACCAAGCUAAGCUGCACCUGAAGUCUUGAUCCACAGAACCUGGGAGAUGACCUAUUUGCUGCCUUCCUCUCUGUCAUCUCACCGAUGUGACAGAGAACAGUGAGAUGCUCGAAGCCAUGGAUAUAGGAGAGGUGCAAGCCGUGUUACUGAAGAAGUAUGCAAUAGCAGAAAGAAGACAGGACAAAUGUCAGGAGACUCGUGCCCAGAGGGGCUGUGAAACUUUGGACUAGCAAUUUAGCUCCUCUCAGUCUCCAAAACCAAUAACCAUCGUGUGCAGUGACCCCAUCUACGAGAGCAUCAGGGCCCCAUGCUCAGAAGAUGUCCUGUGUUUGAGGUUUAAUGC